This 378-nucleotide ribosomal RNA is filed under the name Pseudomonas sp. HPC 1044. Its description in RNAcentral is "bacterial SSU rRNA". It matches the Rfam family "Bacterial small subunit ribosomal RNA", at positions 30 to 409 of the family's 1533-position model. The record is from RNAcentral. Lineage: Bacteria; Pseudomonadati; Pseudomonadota; Gammaproteobacteria; Pseudomonadales; Pseudomonadaceae.
UUGAACGCUGGCGGCAGGCCUAACACAUGCAAUUCGAGCGGAUGAAGGUAGCUUGCUACCGGAUUCAGCGGCGGACGGGUGAGUAAUGCCUAGGAAUCUGCCCGGUAAUGGGGGAUAACGUUUCGAAAGGAACGCUAAUACCGCAUACGUCCUACGGGAGAAAGCAGGGGACCUUCGGGCCUUGCGUUAUCGGAUGAGCCUAGGUCGGAUUAGCUAGUUGGUGAGGUAAUGGCUCACCAAGGCGACGAUCCGUAACUGGUCUGAGAGGAUGAUCAGUCACACUGGAACUGAGACACGGUCCAGACUCCUACGGGAGGCAGCAGUGGGGAAUAUUGGACAAUGGGCGAAAGCCUGAUCCAGCCAUGCCGCGUGUGUGAA